GUGACAGCACUUGAAGAUGAAUUUCUACAUUUAUCUGCAGAAGUGGUACAGCACAAGGGAUUGGCUGUGCUGCUUCCUCUACAAAUAGGCCUGAACCCUGACCUGAAGAGAUCACCUCUAGAGAUAAGUCUCCAUGCCCAUUCAAUCCUUGACCUCC
RNAcentral lists this small RNA (157 nucleotides) under Crocodylus porosus (Australian saltwater crocodile). Its description in RNAcentral is "TUC338 (ENSCPRG00005012806.1)". The record is from RNAcentral. Lineage: Eukaryota; Metazoa; Chordata; Crocodylia; Crocodylidae.